AUUGAACGCUGGCGGCAGGCCUAACACAUGCAAGUCGAACGAGUGGCGCACGGGUGAGUAACGUCUGUGAAACUGCCUGAUGGAGGGGGAUAACUACUGGAACCGGUAGCUAAUCCCGCAUACCUUCAGAGGGGCCCCGAUGGGAUUGGCUUGUUGGUGGGGUAACGGCUCACCAAGGCGACGAUCCCUAGCUGGUCUGAGAGGAUGACCGGCCAACUGGGAACUGAGACAGGGCCCAGACUCCUACGGGAGGCGGCGGUGGGGAAUAUUGCACAAUGGGCGCAAGCCUAAUGAAGCCAUGCCGCGUGUAUGAAGAAGGCCUUCGGGUUGUAAAGUACUUUCAUCGGGGAGGCGUUACCCGCAGAAGAAGCACCGGCUAACUCCGUGCCAGCAGCCGCGGUAAUUC
Molecule: ribosomal RNA, 406 nt
Filed under: uncultured bacterium
Lineage: Bacteria
Description: partial 16S ribosomal RNA
Rfam family: Bacterial small subunit ribosomal RNA
Source: RNAcentral